AUGAUCUCUUCCAUCGGUCUUGUUUGUGGAAUCCAGUAGACAGACCAUUUUGCCACAACUGGUAGCACCAGUGUCUUUGAUUUCUCCAUCUAGAUUUCCCUCGGGCUACUCCAGCAUGGGGUGCUGCAGUGGCUGAUGGUUUGAAUAGGGCAGCAUUUGUUGUUUACUGGAAAAGCAGGCCAUAUUCUUUGUUUUUUUUUUUUUUUUCUUUUACUGAAAGGCAGGCAAUAUUUUUUUCUUCAAAUCCAAAUAUCCCCUCUUUCUUUUCUUCAGUCAACCAAAAAUUCACUUUCUCUUUUCUAAAAUAAAAAUGUAUUUCUUUGGCAUGUUUCGGGGGGGGGUACUUUUUAUUUGUUUGAUUUCUGAUUACAUUCAUCUUACGUAUUUACUCUGAAGUGGAAGUUUUAACUUUAUUUUAAUUUUCUGUAUUGGUUUUCCUUGAUACUUUCAUGAGUUUUCCAUUAUAUUUUCCAGAUCAAGUCCAGAAAGAAAUGGCUAGGAUGAUGGCUCUGUUCAAGGAUGAUUGGAGGAGAGAACAGUUCCAGAAUGGUGAGUCUGUGCUGGUCCAACAGAGGCCCUGCUCAUUGUGGGGGAGUGUCAGGGGAGGACGGGUGCAGGGGAGCUUCGCAAAAGGGAGACCCUCUGGCCCAAGCCUACUGACCUUUCCCAGAAACGUGAUGACCACUUUUCUUUGCACUAACUCUGACUCUGGAUGCAGCCAGAUAUGAUGGCAAGUCCCAUUGAUAGUUUUCACAUCAUUGUAUUUUUGGCAUGCUCCAUCUGUUUCUUUACCACGUGUCUUUGAUGCUCAGUGAUCAACUUUCUCAACACCAACCUACACAUAUAAACUUAUGUGUAAACGCCCCCUACAUGUAUACCGUGACAUCUUAAGGUUUUCAUUUCGUUGUUAUUUCAACUGACAUUUAUCAUCCUCGCAUGUUAUUCCUUGGAUUUUUCGUAUCCUUGCUUCUCAAGCAGAAAAUUCCUUUUCACCAAAUAUAGCCUAAUAAUAAUUAACUUGUAAAAUUUUGCUGAUUUCAAGUUUCUUUGUCCAAAAUAUUUUCUGUCAUUUGACUGAGAAGCCCAUUCACUGCGAAUUAAUUUUAUGUCUUUUCCUUUCAUCUGACGUUGUGAAAGUAAACGUCAUCGAGGUAACGUUAAUGAUCAAACUCCCAUAAGAUACAGUUACGCAGUAGUCGGCGGACAGAAUGCUGUGACCAGAGGCCCCGUCACCCUGACCUGACCUGACCUGACCUGCGUGUCCUGUAAAAGCGCUAGUUCAGGAUUCUUUAAUUCAGGGUCUCGUGGCUUUAUCGAGCAAAGCCACCACGGUAGGGACAUUGAGGCUAUUUACUAAGCACAAGUCACACAACUUAUACCCAUAGAAACGUGAGGAAGGACAGACCAAAUAUUUUCAAAAGGAAUCAUGAACAGAUUUAUCAGGUUCAUUACCAGCAAUAAAGUUCUCCUUUUCUCAAUUGAAAACA
This 1487-nucleotide long non-coding RNA is filed under the name Sus scrofa (pig). RNAcentral describes it as "lncRNA (ENSSSCG00070002076.1)". Lineage: Eukaryota; Metazoa; Chordata; Mammalia; Artiodactyla; Suidae. The record is from RNAcentral.